Long non-coding RNA from Phlebotomus papatasi, 2324 nucleotides. RefSeq lists it as uncharacterized. The transcript has 2 exons. Lineage: Eukaryota; Metazoa; Arthropoda; Insecta; Diptera; Psychodidae. The record is from RefSeq and is a predicted model, not a curated record.
GAAUCAAAGUGCGGAGUUUUCUCUCUUUUUCAUGAGAUUUUCACUGAAUUUAGGGUCAAUUUUACCGUAAAUGUGUAAAUAAAUGGUGAGCAAUAUACUUUCUAAAAAAAUCUCGGUGAAAUUCUUGAAGAUUUUAGUGGAAAAAGCGUGAAAAUUCUGUUCACUGAGGAUUAUCCGCACGCCUAAAUUUUAAACCCUGUCAAGAUUAGGAUUUUACCCCUGUUUUAACCUUGAGUUAACCGUGUUUUAAUCUCUCAAGGGUUGAUUUUCAUCCUUGCCACGGUUAGUAUUGGUGCAAUGUGUGCGCGUCUAAAGCCAUUGUGCGGCGUUUCCUCAAGUUUUCACAGAAUUUAUCCCAAUUUUCCACCAUCAAUGCCUAAAUAAACAGUGAAAAAUUAAUUUUCAUAAAAAAUAUCGGUGAAAUUUUUGAAGGUGUUAGUGGAAAAAGCGUGAAAAUGCUGUUCACUGAGGAUUUUCCGUACGCCUAAAUUUUAAACCGUGUCAAGAUUAGGAUUUUACCCCUGUUUUAACCUUGAGUUAACCUUAAGUGUUUUAAUCUCUCAAGGGUUGAUUUUCAUCCUUGCCACGGUUAGUAUUGGUGCAAUGUGUGCGCGUCUAAAGCCAUUGUGCGGCGUUUCCUCAAGUUUUCACAGAAUUUAUCCCAAUUUUCCACCAUCAAUGCCUAAAUAAACAGUGAAAAAUUAAUUUUCAUAAAAAAUAUCGGUGAAAUUUUUGAAGGUGUUAGUGGAAAAAGCGUGAAAAUGCUGUUCACUGAGGAUUUUCCGUACGCCUAAAUUUUAAACCGUGUCAAGAUUAGGAUUUUACCCCUGUUUUAACCUUGAGUUAACCUUAAGUGUUUUAAUCUCUCAAGGGUUGAUUUUCAUCCUUGCCACGAUGUCGGAACUCCAGAUUUGCAGAAGUUCGAACGAGAGGAUCAUACUGAAACAUGGAAAUUCUACCUAAAAUUUCAAGAGGAGAGAGCAGAAGCACGCCAGGGAGCAGUGGAAAGUGCAAAAUAAAAUAAUUGCCACCGUCCUAACCUCUUACACAUCCUUUGAAGUGGUGCAGGCUGAAGCAGAAUUGAUUAAUUUUUAGGAAUUACGUAGGUUUGAGAAACCAAAAAAUAUGCCCUCUUUAAUUUUUUUUUAAAUAUAAUAAAGAAUAUUUCUUCAAAUCCUACUCUGAAACAUAAAAGUACAACAUUAGAACAAUAUUUUCUAAAAUUUUCAUUUACAAAUUUUAAGAGGUUGAUCUUUUAAAAUGAUUUUCGGAGACAUAACUCACAUAAUUUUUCUCUGAAGUCAGUAAACUAAAUAUUUGCUGUUAGCAGUUGAGUAAAAGUUAUAUUUCAACGAAAGUUUAAAAACAUGAAAUUUGUUUUCAAUAGCAUUUUUUACAAGAAAAAAUGGCGUAUUUUACACUACAUUUCGCCGUGCAAAAUAAGGUAUGACCAAGGAAAAAAAAACAAAUCCUUGUUUAAGUUUUAAACAAUCAACUCUAGAAGUAUGCAAAUUUUCGAUGAAAUUGAUGCAUUAGUUUUCGAAAAAUUUUGCAUAUAAAUCUCACAAAUUGAGAUUUUAAAAAGAGCUUUUACAGUUGAUGCUUCUCAAUUGGCUUUAAAUAAAUUUGUAAAGGCUCUAUCCUAAAGUUUCUCACUGGCUUGAAGUUUGAAAUGAGAAAAUAUUCUUCACAUGUUGUACUUUGUUAUCAAAGAAUAUGUAUAUAUUUUUUUUAAAGUCGCAAUACUACAAAAAAUUUCUACUAGGGUGUAUACGCCAUGCUGGCGUAUACACACUAGUAGAAUUUUUUUUAAAAAUGCCUUUUUAAAGCAAAUUUCCCAUAUCCUUGUAGGUAGAAACGUCAGAAUUUUUUAAAAAAGGCAUUUAAAAAAAAAUUCUACUAGUGUGUAGACGCCAUAAAGCUGUUAAGGUAAUCUAGAUAUAUUUAUUUAUUUUUCAUUGAGAUAAGAUUAAAUAUUGAAAACGAAUAUAUAGAUAAACAAAUACUGUCAAUUUUUCUUGAUGAAUUUUCCUAAGUUUUUGCUUAAUUAUUUUGAAAAUAACUUCUCAUGCUGUUGUAAAAUUUACUCCCUAGUUUUUGCCAAUAUUGUUUAAAAAAGCUUUAAAUAACAGAUAUUUUUACGAUACCUUAAAAAACAAUAAUAUAAUAAAGUUUAAAGUAAUGAAAUAACUAGGAGUUAUAAAUUCUUAUAUUUGUGUUAAAUUGUAAUUAUUUAAUAGUAAAAUAAGGAAUUAUUAUGAUAUAUUGUUAGAGAAAGAAGUACCAUUUUAUUGUAAUAAAUUCUAAAUGUUUACUUAACCUAA